AUUGAACGCUGGCGGCAUGCCUUACACAUGCCAGUCGAACGGUAACAGGUCUUCGGAUGCUGACGAGUGGCGAACGGGUGAGUAAUACAUCGGAACGUGCCCGAUCGUGGGGGAUAACGAGGCGAAAGCUUUGCUAAUACCGCAUACGAUCUACGGAUGAAAGCGGGGGAUCUUCGGACCUCGCGCGGACGGAGCGGCCGAUGGUAGAUUAGGUAGUUGGUGGGAUAAAAGCUUACCAAGCCGACGAUCUGUAGCUGGUCUGAGAGGAUGAUCAGCCACACUGGGACUGAGACACGGCCCAGACUCCUACGGGAGGCAGCAGUGGGGAAUUUUGGACAAUGGGCGAAAGCCUGAUCCAGCCAUGCCGCGUGCAGGAUGAAGGCCUUUGGGUUGUAAACUGCUUUUGUACGGAACGAAAAGCCUCUUUCUAAUAAAGAGGGGUCAUGACGGUACCGUAAGAAUAAGCACCGGCUAACUACGUG
Molecule: ribosomal RNA, 482 nt
Filed under: uncultured bacterium
Lineage: Bacteria
Description: partial 16S ribosomal RNA
Rfam family: Bacterial small subunit ribosomal RNA
Source: RNAcentral